CGCGGCUCUCAUCCUCGUGCCGGAGGUACCGGAUCAGAUCCUUCACGCUCUCGAGGCAGUCGGGUUCGCGGUGGUACGCGUCGCCCUCCAGGUAGCCCAGGGCGCUGCAGGUGGCCAGCAGCUCGCAGUUCAUCAUGUACCAGUCCAUGCAGCGCGGUGCGGGCGCGGGGAGCCGGGCAAGACCCGGCGGGGCGGAGCAGCCCGACCCCGGUCCCGGGGCACCGGGCGGCUCUGAGGGUCCGGGUCCGGGUCCGGGUCCGAGCCGCAAUCCCAAUCCCGAUCCGGAUCCCGAUCGCGGUACCGAAAGCCCCCAGCCCCGCACGCUCCCGCCGCCGUUACACAACCGUCCCAGUUCCCG
This 358-nucleotide long non-coding RNA is filed under the name Gallus gallus (chicken). The record is from RNAcentral. Lineage: Eukaryota; Metazoa; Chordata; Aves; Galliformes; Phasianidae.